GAUGAACGCUGGCGGCGUGCUUAACACAUGCAAGUCGAACGGAAAGGCCCAAGCUUGCUUGGGUACUCGAGUGGCGAACGGGUGAGUAACACGUGGGUGAUCUGCCCUGCACUUCGGGAUAAGCCUGGGAAACUGGGUCUAAUACCGGAUAGGACCACAUUUUGGAUGGUGUGGUGGAAAGUUUUUCGGUGUGGGAUGAGCUCGCGGCCUAUCAGCUUGUUGGUGGGGUAAUGGCCUACCAAGGCGUCGACGGGUAGCCGGCCUGAGAGGGUGUACGGCCACAUUGGGACUGAGAUACGGCCCAGACUCCUACGGGAGGCAGAGGUGGGGAAUAUUGCACAAUGGGCGCAAGCCUGAUGCAGCGACGCCGCGUGGGGGAUGACGGCCUUCGGGUUGUAAACUCCUUUCGCUAGGGACGAAGCGUUAUGUGACGGUACCUGGAGAAGAAGCACCGGCUAACUACGUG
This 466-nucleotide ribosomal RNA is filed under the name uncultured bacterium. RNAcentral describes it as "partial 16S ribosomal RNA". It matches the Rfam family "Bacterial small subunit ribosomal RNA", at positions 28 to 507 of the family's 1533-position model. The record is from RNAcentral.